This 254-nucleotide ribosomal RNA is filed under the name uncultured bacterium. Its description in RNAcentral is "partial 16S ribosomal RNA". It matches the Rfam family "Bacterial small subunit ribosomal RNA", at positions 524 to 776 of the family's 1533-position model. The record is from RNAcentral.
UACGUAGGUGGCAAGCGUUGUCCGGAAUUAUUGGGCGUAAAGAGCUCGUAGGCGGUGUGUCGCGUCGGCCGUGAAAACCUGCAGCUUAGCUGUGGGCGUGCGGUCGAUACGGGCAUCACUGGAGUUCGGCAGGGGAGACUGGAAUUCCUGGUGUAGCGGUGAAAUGCGCAGAUAUCAGGAGGAACACCGGUGGCGAAGGCGGGUCUCUGGGCCGAUACUGACGCUGAGGAGCGAAAGCGUGGGGAGCGAACAGG